Molecule: long non-coding RNA, 302 nt
Filed under: Brassica rapa (field mustard)
Lineage: Eukaryota; Viridiplantae; Streptophyta; Magnoliopsida; Brassicales; Brassicaceae
Description: long non-coding RNA (BRAP_LNC003929)
Source: RNAcentral
GCCGGCUCAACACUCUUAGGGGCCCUAGGGCAAGAAAUUUUUUUUUUUACCCUCUAAAAUUUAUAUAAAGAUAAUGUUUAAAAUAUUUUUUAAAUUUAAUCAGUAAUAUUUUGUAAUGAAAAUAAAACCAUAUACAUAUCAAAUAAUUUUGGGCCCUUUCAACUUUAUUUAUUAUAUUUAUAAUUUUUUUAUAUAUAAAAAUAUGAAUUUAUAAAAAAUUGAGCCCCUUAAUUAAUAUUAUACGGGGGGACACGGGCUUGGGCCCGGGACGGUCGCACCGCUUGUCCCCCCAAUGAGCCGGC